AUCCAGCUGACGAGUUCCAAACAAAAUGAUACGUGUGUCCUAGAU
Molecule: non-coding RNA, 45 nt
Filed under: Schistosoma mansoni
Lineage: Eukaryota; Metazoa; Platyhelminthes; Trematoda; Strigeidida; Schistosomatidae
Source: RNAcentral